CUAUUAUUUAAUUAAAUUAAUUAAAUUAGAAAGUAAAUGUAAUCAUUAAAUCUAAAUAAUUUGGCGGUAUUUUAAUAGGUUAGAGGAACUUGUUAUGUAAGUGAUAGUCCACGGUAAGGGUGUCUUAAUAAAUUUUUAUGUAUUGUUGUUUUAAAAUUAUUUUAGGAGGAGAUAGUUAGUAAUCUGGUUAUAAUAUAAAUCAAAUCAAAAUGUAGAAUUUUUAAGUUUUAAUGAGUUACAUUAAAUUAAAUAAUAGGUAUAAUAAAUUAAUUUUUAUUUAAAAAGGAUUUAAUAGUAAAUUUAUAAAAUUUUAUAAGUUGAAAUUUCUGUGAAAUAUG
This 338-nucleotide ribosomal RNA is filed under the name Aphaenogaster sp. RA0356. RNAcentral's name for it is "partial 12S ribosomal RNA". Lineage: Eukaryota; Metazoa; Arthropoda; Insecta; Hymenoptera; Formicidae. The record is from RNAcentral.